GAUGAACGCUGGCGGCGUGCCUAAUACAUGCAAGUCGAGCGAACGGACGAGAAGCUUGCUUCUCUGAUGUUAGCGGCGGACGGGUGAGUAACACGUGGAUAACCUACCUAUAAGACUGGGAUAACUUCGGGAAACCGUAGCUAAUACCGGAUAAUAUUUUGAACCGCAUGGUUCAAAAGUGAAAGACGGUCUUGCUGUCACUUAUAGAUGGAUCCGCGCUGCAUUAGCUAGUUGGUAAGGUAACGGCUUACCAAGGCAACGAUGCAUAGCCGACCUGAGAGGGUGAUCGGCCACACUGGAACUGAGACACGGUCCAGACUCCUACGGGAGGCAGCAGUAGGAAAUCUUCCGCAAUGGGCGAAAGCCUGACGGAGCAACGCCGCGUGAGUGAUGAAGGUCUUCGGAUCGUAAAACUCUGUUAUUAGUGAAGAACAUAUGUGUAAGUAACUGUGCACAUCUUGACGGUACCUAAUCAGAAAGCCACGGCUAACUACGUG
Molecule: ribosomal RNA, 497 nt
Filed under: uncultured bacterium
Lineage: Bacteria
Description: partial 16S ribosomal RNA
Rfam family: Bacterial small subunit ribosomal RNA
Source: RNAcentral